Carassius gibelio (silver crucian carp) is the source of this 362-nucleotide long non-coding RNA. RefSeq lists it as uncharacterized. Lineage: Eukaryota; Metazoa; Chordata; Actinopteri; Cypriniformes; Cyprinidae. The record is from RefSeq and is a predicted model, not a curated record. The transcript has 3 exons.
UAAUGAAGCCUUUACAGAAGUUAUAAUCAUAGGGCCAAGAGUAGGAAGUGCGAGCACACAGCAGUAUUUAAAGCUAAGUGCAUCACAUCAGUCAUCAUGAUCAGGAACUUCUAAUGCGAGGCUUCAAGGAAAACCUUUCAGUGAGACCCCCCUGGUGUCUUCCUGUGGAGGGCAUUCUGAGGUCAAAGGCUCACCUGUGCUCCAGGAUGCAAUGGGCUCAAUCUGUAAAGAAAUGACUCCGAUCUAGAAACAUAACAGUGGCCAUCUAUCAGCAGAACGAGGAAAAUAAAUAAAACGUCCUCUCUAUAUGUCUUUAGUAUGCAUUAAUGAAAACAUGUCAGUAAUGUUUCAUUCAGAAGGUG